RNAcentral lists this ribosomal RNA (439 nucleotides) under Aquabacterium sp. Its description in RNAcentral is "bacterial SSU rRNA". It matches the Rfam family "Bacterial small subunit ribosomal RNA", at positions 421 to 853 of the family's 1533-position model. Lineage: Bacteria; Pseudomonadati; Pseudomonadota; Betaproteobacteria; Burkholderiales; Sphaerotilaceae. The record is from RNAcentral.
GGUUGUAAACCGCUUUUGUCAGGGAAGAAAUCUUUUGAUCUAAUACCUCGGAGGGAUGACGGUACCUGAAGAAUAAGCACCGGCUAACUACGUGCCAGCAGCCGCGGUAAUACGUAGGGUGCGAGCGUUAAUCGGAAUUACUGGGCGUAAAGCGUGCGCAGGCGGUCUUGCAAGACAGGUGUGAAAUCCCCGGGCUUAACCUGGGAACUGCACUUGUGACUGCAAGGCUGGAGUACGGCAGAGGGGGAUGGAAUUCCGCGUGUAGCAGUGAAAUGCGUAGAUAUGCGGAGGAACACCGAUGGCGAAGGCAAUCCCCUGGGCCUGUACUGACGCUCAUGCACGAAAGCGUGGGGAGCAAACAGGAUUAGAUACCCUGGUAGUCCACGCCCUAAACGAUGUCAACUGGUUGUUGGACGGUUUGCUGUUCAGUAACGAAGCU